RNAcentral lists this long non-coding RNA (1309 nucleotides) under Canis lupus dingo (dingo). Its description in RNAcentral is "lncRNA (ENSCAFG00020015569.1)". The record is from RNAcentral. Lineage: Eukaryota; Metazoa; Chordata; Mammalia; Carnivora; Canidae.
AUGUGUGUGAAAGCACCGAGCACCCAGCCUGUGCACCUUCAGAAGACAAGUUAUCAGGCCCCUGGUGUGGAGGGCAGACUGGAAGUCAGGGAGGUGACAGGAUUCUGCCUCUACCUCCUCUCAGCAGUCCCAAGACACAGGGUUGACAGAGACACAGGUCUCUGUGUCUCUGCGCCCACAACUACUAGGAGGAUUAAAAGUGCACACAGUAGGUGCUCCGUAAGCAUGACUUCCCCUGCCCUUCCCCUGCCCCGCCUCUUCCGCCCCUGCCACUCCUGGCAUGCCACUCCAUGCCAGAACCCUCGAUGACUCAUCCACAUAGAGCUUUCGCUUCCUCCUUCUUGUUAAAGGCUCUUGGCCUGCUGCAGCUGCAGAAAGGAGGUGCCUCCUUGGGGGCUCGAAGGCCCGGAGGAGCAGCCAUGGGCCCUGCUGAGGGCUCAGGGCCCAGACGCAAGGAGCUGGGGUGCUGUCCCUGUGGAGCAUAAGGUGGCAAGAGGGCUUCUCAGGCUCCCUGCCAGACACUGGCCUGGGCCAAACUCUCUCCAAAUGGCCGGUCACCUACACAGGCUGGCAUACCGGGGACCGACCUAGAAUUUUUAAGCUGGAAUUGUGCCUCUCCUACUUAUGAGACAUCAGAGGGACCCGUCUUCAUUCAUUUGUUCGUUUGUGCAUGGAUGCUUCAUGACUUUCUCCCUCUGUUCCCUCAUUUAACAAAUCUGUCCUGGUCUCCUAGGUACCAAGUAGUCCCUAGUGGACCAAGAAACCGAAGUUCAUUCUCUGCCCAUGAGGAUCUCCCAGGUGAGGGGGUGGGAAGUGAGGUUGAGGGACAGAUCUGUAAACAGAGAACCUGAGUAGGGUUAAAGAAAACCCAAAACAGGGACGCCUGGGUGGCUCAGCCGUUGAGCAUCUGCCUUUGGCUCAGGGUGUGAUCCCAGGGUUCCGGGAUCGAGUCCCACAUCAGGCUCCUUGCAUGAUGCUUCUCCCUCUGCCUCUGUCUCUCUCUGGCUCUGUCUUUCAUGAAUAAGUAAAAUUUAAAAGAAAAAAAGAAAACCCAAAACGGUAGGGAAGCCUUGGGGGUACUUCUGAGAUCUCUUCAUACAGUUUACCAGACAUGUGUACACAGAAAUGCUUCCUCAUUACAAGCUGGCUUCCUCUCCCUUUAGAGCAUUCUAUAGCGACCAGCUGCUCCAAGGGCAAGGCUAAAAAUUAAACUUCACUGAGCCUCCUCGGUGCAGGUGUGUUGUGCAACUUCGAGGGGUUGGGGAGGGCCCAUUCAUAUCCUAGUCUAAGGGGAUGGCAUCUGGUUGAA